Molecule: ribosomal RNA, 217 nt
Filed under: uncultured bacterium
Lineage: Bacteria
Description: partial 16S ribosomal RNA
Rfam family: Bacterial small subunit ribosomal RNA
Source: RNAcentral
AGUCUUAGUUCGGAUUGUAGGCUGCAACUCGCCUACAUGAAGUCGGAAUUGCUAGUAAUCGCGAAUCAGAAUGUCGCGGUGAAUACGUUCCCGGGCCUUGUACACACCGCCCGUCACACCAUGAGAGUCGAUAACACCCGAAGCCUGUGAGCUAACCGUAAGGAGGCAGCAGUCGAAGGUGGGGUUGAUGAUUGGGGUGAAGUCGUAACAAGGUAGC